AGAGCGAACGCUGGCGGCAGGCUUAACACAUGCAAGUCGAACGGGCACCUUCGGGUGUCAGUGGCAGACGGGUGAGUAACACGUGGGAACGUGCCCUUCGGUUCGGAAUAACUCAGGGAAACUUGAGCUAAUACCGGAUACGCCCUUUUGGGGAAGGUUUACUGCCGAAGGAUCGGCCCGCGUCUGAUUAGCUUGUGGUGGGUACGCCUACAGGCGAGAUCGAGUAGCUGGUCUGAGAGGAUGAUCAGCCACACGUGGGACUGAGACACGGCCCAGACGUCCUACGGGAGGCAGCAGUCGGGGAAUAGUUGGACAAGUGGGCGCGAAGCCUAGAUCCGAGCCAUCGCG
RNAcentral lists this ribosomal RNA (348 nucleotides) under uncultured soil bacterium. RNAcentral's name for it is "bacterial SSU rRNA". It matches the Rfam family "Bacterial small subunit ribosomal RNA", at positions 26 to 401 of the family's 1533-position model. The record is from RNAcentral.